Molecule: ribosomal RNA, 253 nt
Filed under: uncultured bacterium
Lineage: Bacteria
Description: partial 16S ribosomal RNA
Rfam family: Bacterial small subunit ribosomal RNA
Source: RNAcentral
UACGUAGGGGGCAAGCGUUGUCCGGAUUUAUUGGGCGUAAAGAGCGUGUAGGCGGCCAUGUAGGUCCGUUGUGAAAACUCGAGGCUCAACCUCGAGACGCCGAUGGAAACCAUGUGGCUAGAGUCCGGAAGAGGAGAGUGGAAUUCCUGGUGUAGCGGUGAAAUGCGCAGAUAUCAGGAAGAACACCCGUGGCUAAGGCGGCUCUCUAGUACGGUACUGACGCUGAGGUGCGAAAGCGUGGGGAGCAAACGGG